AUCUAAAAGUGUUGAUUUCAA
RNAcentral lists this non-coding RNA (21 nucleotides) under Arabidopsis thaliana (thale cress). Lineage: Eukaryota; Viridiplantae; Streptophyta; Magnoliopsida; Brassicales; Brassicaceae. The record is from RNAcentral.